UUUGGCAGCGAAUGAAUCCUAUCGGGGGAAGGUGUGUUGUAAAGGAUGAUCCGCCUAUUAAUUUACUCUUAUUAUGUUGGUGUAUAUCUAGUUUAAUAUUAUUGUCUAGUGACUUAAUUUGUGUAGAAUUUAGUUAAGCUAAGUCUAUGUGCUGCAUAUAGGAGUUUUCAUGCGUUACAUUUAUAAAGAGUUAGUUGUAAAGACUAAUUUAUUUAGGACUCGAAAGUAAUGUACAAUGAGUUUGUGUAU
RNAcentral lists this ribosomal RNA (249 nucleotides) under Catenotaenia henttoneni. RNAcentral's name for it is "partial small subunit ribosomal RNA". The record is from RNAcentral. Lineage: Eukaryota; Metazoa; Platyhelminthes; Cestoda; Cyclophyllidea; Catenotaeniidae.